AUUGCUUACGGGGGGCAGCAGUGGGGAAUAUUGCACAAUGGGCGAAAGCCUGAUGCAGCAACGCCGCGUGAAGGAAGAAGGGUUUCGGCUCGCAAACUUCUAUCAACAGGGACGAAAGAAAUGACGGUACCUGAAUAAGAAGCCCCGGCUAACUACGUGCCAGCAGCCGCGGUAAUACGUAGGGGGCAAGCGUUAUCCGGAUUUACUGGGUGUAAAGGGAGCGUAGACGGAAAGGCAAGUCAGAAGUGAAAGCCCA
This 256-nucleotide ribosomal RNA is filed under the name uncultured bacterium. RNAcentral describes it as "partial 16S ribosomal RNA". It matches the Rfam family "Bacterial small subunit ribosomal RNA", at positions 334 to 604 of the family's 1533-position model. The record is from RNAcentral.